CAAAAUAAAUAGGUCUUGCCUGCUUGCAUAGAGUGACAGGUGCAUCACACAUCUAGUUAUAACUACCCUAAUAGACUAGACCUGGCUUAAGCCCCAUGUGGUGCGAGACAAGGCAACCGUGUUUGACAUCCACCUUGUAACUGCCUUUGUCCAGUUUAUUUUGUAUUAGCACUUUUACUAUUUGUUUUUCUUUCUAAAUUGAAUGUUAAUAGUAAGACGGAAUUAAUUAUUGGUCCCGCCCGGAGGUUUCCGGCCGGGCGCCUUUGAGCGACGCACUGAAGAAAACUUUACCGCGAAAGAGACUGAUUAUUCCGCUGUUGUCAUGUUUAAGUAAAUAAGUUGGCAGGAAAAUAUACAGAAGAUGAUUCAGGAGAUUUGAAAGGAUGUUUAGCACCUCUUUGUGAUAAGCAGCAAUGAGUUCUCAUGGGUUGACCAACAUUAAAGCCCUGUGUUCUAACCAAGACCUCUUGCUUCAUGCCUGUCACUGGGGGAGCUACACACCUGUCAAAUCCCGGGCCGUGUACAUUUUGCACCACCCUCUGUUGGAGCCCCAUGCACUGUCAAUACGCCUCAACCAGGAUUCGAUUGAAGCAAAGUUGCAGCUGCACUGCAAGCUGGAACGCUGCGGUACGUUACCGGUCGCUGUGUUAAAGGAUUAUAAUUUGAAUCGCCACUACACGACGCAUGGGAACAAAUACAGAAAUCUGUCUGAUGAGGAGCGCGCGUGGGAGUCUGAUGUGUUGCUAGCAAAACAGCAAACCCAACAAGGACUUUUUACGAAACUUCACACCCCCAGAGAUGCAGCCGUCAGGACAAGAAUGAUCCACCAAACGCCUGACAGUGACACAGAGGGGGAGGAGAACCCCUACCGUCACCUGCUCCACACCUGGCCAGCCCAGCGACAACCCCGGAAGAGGCAACAACAGAGGUGACGUCACGAACCUGCAGUGAGUCAGCCCCAAAAAUAGUUUUGGGGGGGCUAAUGGGGUGCCCGAGGGGGGGCCUAGCCCAAGCCCUUUCAUACCACCUCCCAAUGCCAUGGGACUGGAUAGGCAGUCGUCUAGCCAUCCGGUGCACCCCAGUCGCUGCUCUGCAGCCUGCUCUACGUUUGGUGCCAUCUCCAAGGUGCCAAGCAACCUCUCUACGUCUAAGUUCCAACCCCCUCUAAAUGCUGAGCGCCCAGGAGACAAAUAAGCGGUCAUUGGGUCCGAUUUAUAAGUAAAAAUGUUACUGCAAAAACACCAACACAAAACGCCCUUUGAAUGCAUUUAAAAAUAUUUUUCAUUAAACACUAGAAAACAGAACAUUUAAACAUUAUAUUAGGAAUUUUUCAUUGAACACUAGAAAACACAACACUAUAUUU
This is a long non-coding RNA of Esox lucius (northern pike), 1363 nucleotides long. The record is from Ensembl. NCBI's taxonomy places the organism in Eukaryota, Metazoa, Chordata, Actinopteri, Esociformes, Esocidae.